GUCCACGCCGUAACGAUGUCAACUAGCCGUUGGCUCUCUUAGAGAGUUAGUGGCGCAGCUAACGCAUUAAGUUGACCGCCUGGGAGUACGGCCGCAAGGUUAACUCAAAUGAAUUGACGGGCCCGCACAAGCGGUGGAGCAUGUGGUUAAUUCGAUGCAACGCGAAGAACCUUACCUACCCUUGACAUCCAGAGAAUCUGUUAGAGAUAGUAGAGUGCCUUCGGGAACUCUGAGACAGGUGCUGCAUGGCUGUCGU
This 256-nucleotide ribosomal RNA is filed under the name uncultured bacterium. RNAcentral's name for it is "partial 16S ribosomal RNA". It matches the Rfam family "Bacterial small subunit ribosomal RNA", at positions 793 to 1055 of the family's 1533-position model. The record is from RNAcentral.